RNAcentral lists this ribosomal RNA (358 nucleotides) under Streptococcus agalactiae. Its description in RNAcentral is "bacterial SSU rRNA". It matches the Rfam family "Bacterial small subunit ribosomal RNA", at positions 87 to 440 of the family's 1533-position model. The record is from RNAcentral. Lineage: Bacteria; Bacillati; Bacillota; Bacilli; Lactobacillales; Streptococcaceae.
ACUGAUGAGUUGCGAACGGGUGAGUAACGCGUAGGUAACCUGCCUCAUAGCGGGGGAUAACUAUUGGAAACGAUAGCUAAUACCGCAUAAGAGUAAUUAACACAUGUUAGUUAUUUAAAAGGAGCAAUUGCUUCACUGUGAGAUGGACCUGCGUUGUAUUAGCUAGUUGGUGAGGUAAAGGCUCACCAAGGCGACGAUACAUAGCCGACCUGAGAGGGUGAUCGGCCACACUGGGACUGAGACACGGCCCAGACUCCUACGGGAGGCAGCAGUAGGGAAUCUUCGGCAAUGGACGGAAGUCUGACCGAGCAACGCCGCGUGAGUGAAGAAGGUUUUCGGAUCGUAAAGCUCUGAUGUU